GAGGGUAUAGCUCAGUGGUAAAGUGCAUGCUUAGCAUGCAUGAGGUCCUGGGUUCAAUCCCCAGUGCCCCCA
Molecule: transfer RNA, 72 nt
Filed under: Camelus bactrianus (Bactrian camel)
Lineage: Eukaryota; Metazoa; Chordata; Mammalia; Artiodactyla; Camelidae
Also listed under: 2 other names
Rfam family: tRNA
About the family: Transfer RNA (tRNA) molecules are approximately 80 nucleotides in length. Their secondary structure includes four short double-helical elements and three loops (D, anti-codon, and T loops).
Source: Rfam by way of RNAcentral